UCUUCCACACACCCCAACUGACAUGGGACCAGGCCCUCAGCUCCGUGCUGACAUCCAGCCAACAGCAGGACCAGUUGCUCACAUAAUUCAGUCUCACAAAUAGCUUGUGGUUUUGGGUGGCCAUGUCGUGCAGGAGCUAGCUUCUCAUUUUGGCUUAAUGGAAAACAGCCAUCAUGCUCGUUUGUGUUAAUGAGCUGCCUCAACAAACAGCAGGUAAAUUGUAUCAACAUGGCACAACAGAGGCCUCCCAGGCCACCUUAGCGAGCGUGGCUCCGGUUUUUGCCGUGAUGAAGCUUGACAAAGAGGGAAAUGCUACCUUUUUUGAAAAGAAGAAAACAGAAUUGUACCAGGAAUUGGGUCUUCAGGCUCGAGAUCUAAGAUUUCAACACGUAAUGAGCAUUGCAACUAGGAACAACAGGAUCAUCAUGAGAAUGGAGUUCUUGAAGGCUGUCGUAACACCAGAGUUUCUUCUGAUACUAGAUUAUCGUAAUUUAAAUCUGGAACACUGGCUCUUCAAUGAACUAACAUCUCAGCUGGCUGGGGAAGGUCAACUAGUUACAUAUUCCCUGCCUUUUGAAUUCCGAGCCAUAGAAGCAAUCCUGCAGUACCGGAUCAGCAAACUGCAGGGGAGACUUAACACUUUGCAGCCUCAGAUCCUUGAGACACUGGAAGCUCUAGUGGACCCCAAGCUUUUGUCUGUGGAUAGGAGUAAACUACACAUUCUCCUGCAAAAUGGCAAGAGCUUGUCAGAACUGGAAACAGAUCUCAAAGUUUUCAAAGAAACAAUUCUGGAGAUCUUAGAUGAAGAAGAGUUAAUAGAAGAGCUCUGUCUGUCUAAAUGGACUGACCCACAAGUAUUUGAGGAGAGCACGUCCGGGAUUGACCACGCAGAGGAGAUGGAGCUGCUGCUGGAGAACUACUACAGACAAGCAGAAGAUCUGGCAAAUGAAGCUCGUGAACUCAGAGUACUGAUUGACGACUCGGAAAGCAUCAUCUUUAUCAACCUGGACAGAUGUUUCUCCCUCCUUUAGCCACCGUAAUGUGAUGAUGAGACUGAACUUGCAGCUGACGAUGGGGACUUUCUCUCUGUCUCUCUUUGGACUCAUAGGAGUUGCAUUUGGUAUGAACCUGGAGUCAUCUCUUGAAGAGGAUCCCAGGAUAUUUUGGCUGGUGACGGGGAUUAUGUUUCUGGGCAGCGGUCUGAUCUGGCGACGCUUGCUUUCCUUCCUGGGGCGGCACCUAGAACCUCCACUACCUCCUCACGUUCCUGCAGUUUUGAAAAAAUCCCAACCAGCAGCUGGAAGAGUGGAGCUAAAGAACAACCUUAAAGCAGAAACGUUUGGGCUGAGCAGAAGCACCUUAACGAACCAAUAGGAACAGUGCAGGAAUGAAGAGACUUCUACUGUUACAGGGUGGACUUUGGACACAUUCUCCACGUUUAUUCUUCCUUACUGAAAACUGCAAGAAUUUCUAAACUUGUUAAUUUAAUAUAUAUUUUGUGCCAAAAAAAAAACCUAUGGUGAGAUUUUCAUGCUCACACGCGAAAGGAGAGAAACACAAGGGAAAACAGUGAUGUGCUUUCCACAGUAGUCUCACCUCCACCCCACGUAUGUUCCAUUACCUUUCUGUAUCACAUACAUACAGUAAUUUUGGGGGCAUUCUCAUUUCAAGUGUUUGUCAAAUACUUCUUUGUGUAAUGGCCUUUCUUAAAGAGAACGGUAUUUUCAGCUGUAGGGAUGACAGCUGUCAGCAUUCAUCAGUAACUCGGGUUUUGAGCUGCAGAUUAAGGAGUUUGACUUCAAAUGUCAAAGAAAAAUCCACCCCAAAAGUAGCCUUUAAGGCCAUAUUUAAUUGCAGAGAACAGAUUUUCCAAAGCAAAAAAUGUACCUGCAUCUCUUGGGAAGCAUCACCUCUAAAUUGGCAGUAACCAGAAAUAACAGUUUCCCUUGCUUUAAGUUAGCAAAACCAGGCUUUGAAAUGCAGCUGCUUAUCUUGGAUAAUCCUUAACAAUUAAUUUAGGCCCAAAAUGUAGGGAAUUCAGGAAAAGGGAAAAUGGGCCUGUUGAUAACGCGUGCUUGUGCUUGCCAUCUGCCGCUAUUUCAACACACGUGGAUACAGCUGCAGUUUAACAACAACUCCUGUUCUCUAAGGACUGAUUCAAAAGCUGGUAGAAGUCAACAGGCCAAUUGUUGGUUUCUCUUCAGCUGGGCUCUGCUUCCCUCUCUUUUUGCUCCAAGAAGACAAGCCAAAGCAUGGAGUAGCCUGCGUCGCGGUAAGUAGCUGGGUUAGUAAGGGGUGUGUGGAAGCCUGGUGUCCUGUGAUGGACUGAAGGAAGGAGUAAAGUUCUUAGGACUUAUCUCUGAACUCUGAGGGUGUAGUUCUCCACUGGUUUCUCUCAGUCUGUAGAAGGAUCCUGAAAUCCUUCUAAAUCAGGUCACAAACUGUCUUAUUUCUUAUUUUUUAACCUCUCUAACAUCCAGUGAGUAGCUCCUUAGGUGCCACCAGAUAAAUCACUCUACUAGCAGGGGAUGAAAAAAACAGUAACUGUAGCUGUGAACGUUUUUACUCAGGAUUAAUGAGUCAAAAAUGGAAAUAAAAAGGUACAUAAAUUAAAAAUGCCUAGCUUGGUUAAAGUUGUUUCUACAACAUUUUCAAACAGUUGUUCUUGCUUUGUGUGUGACUUCAGCUACAGGUAUAAAAGGUGUGAGAAGAUUAAUGGGGUUUGUAAUGUUCUUGAGGUUUUUUCAGCUCAAUUUUUUGGCAGCGUUUUUGCUUAACAGGUUGAGAUGUAAAAAAAAAAAGAAAAACCUCUAAACUGAACAAUCCAGUGGAAAAAAUAAUGGCUCACGUACCUCGGCUGAUAAACCCAGUGCACAAAGGGAUGUAGAUGCUGAUGUUUUCAACCAAGUUGUGGUUGCAUUAGGUCAGGACUGAAAAGUGUUGGUGCAGCUGUUGGGGAAGCUUUCACGUAAGUUUUCCAAGCUCUGUCUUUCGUGCAGAGAGGCUUCUGUGAACUGCUCUGACUCCUUCUCCUGGAUGUAACUGACUUCAAGCACAAUAAAAGCACUGUGAGAGAGA
Molecule: RNA transcript, 3078 nt
Organism: Calidris pugnax (ruff)
Lineage: Eukaryota; Metazoa; Chordata; Aves; Charadriiformes; Scolopacidae
Gene: MRS2
Gene name: MRS2, magnesium transporter
Exons: 11
Source: RefSeq, a predicted model, not a curated record